This 1293-nucleotide ribosomal RNA is filed under the name Sarcophaga carnaria (camouflaged flesh fly). RNAcentral's name for it is "16S ribosomal RNA". The stretch from base 1042 to 1201 matches the Rfam family "Archaeal large subunit ribosomal RNA", at positions 2542 to 2701 of the family's 2987-position model. The record is from RNAcentral. Lineage: Eukaryota; Metazoa; Arthropoda; Insecta; Diptera; Sarcophagidae.
UUAUAAAUUAUUAAAAGUAAUUAUUAUGAGAUUUGUUUAAGUAUUUUAUAGAGAAAAAAUAAUUUUAAUUAUAGUUAAAUAGUAUUGUGAAAGAAAAUUGAAAUAAUUUGAAAAAUUAAUAUUUUAAAAGAAAAUUUAAUUUAUUGUACCUUGUGUAUCAGGGUUUAUUAAAUAAAAAUUAUUUAUUAUAAUUUUCUCGAUUUUAAAAGAGUUAAUAUAUUAUUUAAGUUAAUGUUACAAAAUUAUUUGAUAUAGUAUGUUAGAAAUGAAAUGUUAUUCGUUUUUAAAGGUAUCUAGUUCUUUAAGAAAUAAAUUUAAUUUAGAAAUUUUAUAUUAUUUAAUUAAAUAUAUUAAUUAAAUAAUUAUUUUAUUUUAAUAUUUUGUGGGAUAAGCUAUGAAAUAAAUUAUUAAAAAUUAUUAAAUGAUUUAAUAAAUAUAGGCUUAGAAAUAGCUAUUAUUAAUAAAAUUGUUAUAAUUUAUUUUAUUGUAUAAAUUAUUUAUUAGAUUUUAAUUAUGUAUUAAAGUAUUUAUUUUAAUUUAAAAAAUAAAAAAAUAAUGAUAAAAUUAGUAUAUUAUAGUGUAUAAGUAUAAUAAAUUGAUAAGUUUUUAUAAAGAACUCGGCAAAAAUAAUGUUCGCCUGUUUAACAAAAACAUGUCUUUUUGAAUUUUUUUAAAAGUCUAGCCUGCCCACUGAAUAAUUUAAAUGGCCGCAGUAUACUAACUGUGCAAAGGUAGCAUAAUCAUUAGUCUUUUAAUUGAAGGCUGGUAUGAAUGGUUGGACGAGAUAUUAACUGUUUCAUAAAAAUUUAUAAUAGAAUUUUAUUUUUUAGUCAAAAAGCUAAAAUAAAAUUAAAAGACGAGAAGACCCUAUAAAUCUUUAUAUAUAUAGGUUAUUAGAAUUUUGUAGAUUUUUUUUAUUAUAAUAAUUGAUUGUAUUUUAUUGGGGUGAUAUUAAAAUUUAAUAAACUUUUAAUUUUUUUUAUCAUUAAUAUAUGAAUAAUUGAUCCGUUAAUAGCGAUUAAAAAAAUAAGUUACUUUAGGGAUAACAGCGUAAUUUUUUUGGAGAGUUCAUAUCGAUAAAAAAGAUUGCGACCUCGAUGUUGGAUUAAGGUAUAAUUUUAGGUGUAGCCGCUUAAAUUUUAAGUCUGUUCGACUUUUAAAUUCUUACAUGAUCUGAGUUCAAACCGGCGUAAGCCAGGUUGGUUUCUAUCUUUAAUUAAUUAAAAUAUUUCAGUACGAAAGGACCUAAUAUUUAAUAAAUAAUUAUUUUUAUAUUGAAUAUAAAUAAUUUAU